Molecule: long non-coding RNA, 850 nt
Organism: Sitodiplosis mosellana (orange wheat blossom midge)
Lineage: Eukaryota; Metazoa; Arthropoda; Insecta; Diptera; Cecidomyiidae
Exons: 2
Source: RefSeq, a predicted model, not a curated record
CAAAAUGUUCUCCAUAUUAGUAUGGCUCAUACCAACUUAACAUCAUCUUUGGUAUGAGUCAGACUUUUACACCAAAAAUUCCAUACAAAACGAGCACAUUUUUGAUGUGAAUUUUUUCAUGGGUUCAUCCAAAUGCGUAGAAACUUGAUAAGGAAUGGUCUGAUGUGGCACUUUACAUCAGUUGCUGCUAUUUUUAAUUUUGAAGUUUCAGUUAAAAAACGCUUCUCCUCGGCAUCGGUCGCACAUUUAAAGUGCUCUCAUUGCACGGCAGUGCAAUUGUGACCUUGAGAAAAAAAAGUGACUAAAAUAUGUUUCGAACCUACGAUUUUAGUCAUAUUUUGAUUUAAAAGUCGCUUCCAAUCAGACUGCAAUAAUUUCGAAUCAAAAUGAUAACCGAGCGAAAAGGUGGAGACUUUUCAAUUCAACGUACGAAGGGAGGCCGAAACAUUGGCCAAAGUACCCGCCACAGUGUGAAUGGGAGAGGAUUUUAUCUCACCUUGGAGUUCCAGUCUCAAACUGCCGAUCAUCACAUCAUCUCAAAUGAUACUUCGUAGUGAAGGAGUUUUUCUUUUUUUCUCGUCACUUCCAAGUUAAAUCAUAUCCAUCGCAGUCAUUUUUUGUGUGAAAUCUUCAAAGUGAUACAUUUCAAGGCAUAAUUUGUGCACCAGUUGUUUUGUCAUUACAUCUUCACGUAGGAGAAAUGCUACGGACAAUUUUCUUUUUCUACAUAAAAAUUGCAAAGAAAAUAUGAUCGGCUUUUCUUUGAAGUGCAGUUGUACUUUUGAGAUCUAAUGUGUGGAUGAGAAUUUUAAACCAAUUAAUGAAUAACAAAUAAUGUUUGCGAUUUGAA